AAAACGGCCCUUUUCAGGGCCACAAUGUGUUAUACCAAAGAAAUG
This is a regulatory RNA element of Drosophila melanogaster (fruit fly), 45 nucleotides long. It matches the Rfam family "Histone 3' UTR stem-loop". Rfam says of the family: The mRNAs of metazoan histone genes lack a poly-A tail. 3' end processing occurs at a site between a highly conserved stem-loop (modelled by this family) and a purine rich region around 20 nts downstream (the histone downstream element, or HDE). The record is from Rfam. NCBI's taxonomy places the organism in Eukaryota, Metazoa, Arthropoda, Insecta, Diptera, Drosophilidae.